UGUGCUGAAGAUGAUUAUCUCGUUGUUAGUAAUUGUACUGAGGGAAAGGAGAAGGGGAGGGAGACAACUUGGAGUUUAGGGGGAAGCUGGAACCUCUCUUGUCUCCAGCAGCUGGUGAAAAAAGCAGGAGGCAAAAUCACAUUUCCUAACUGUCCCCAAGCCCACAAUCUAGUAUUGAAAACCAACCUCAUGACUGUGGACAUACUUUGUCACGUAUCUCCCAUAGGCCGUGCGUUUCUGUUUGGGAAGAGGAGGGAGAGAGGGGAAAGGAAGAGGGAUGACUCAUGAGUGCUGAACUUUUGAGGAAAGCACAGCUGUAAUCCCAGACCGUCUGACUGGGGAGAUUGUUCUGAACAGUGCUUACUUAUGUAGUGCUUUCCCUUCAUCCUCCUCCACCUUGAAAAAAUCAGUCAGUUCUGCCACACAAAGCAAAAGAGAAAAGAUUUCCAGGAAUAUAAUUAAUGUUUUAAGCAAGAGAAGUCAUCAGUCCCGUUACUACGCGUCUUCCAAAGGGAUAAGAUCUUGUGUGGAACAGAAGCGGACAGAGAUAAGAUACUUUGGAAGACGACCGUGUGUUUGAUGUAGGAAGCUGGUUACUUCAUAUCGUGCGACCUCUUCUAGAUCCCCUGUCUCAGAUCAAACAUGAUCUUACCUUUGUAAUGGUAUGAGGACAUGCUUUGUCUGGUACCUAUAAGUGGAAGAGAACCAGAAAGAAGUCGGUGCCUGAGCUAUCUUUUUAAAACCAUGUUCUAAAAUACUGUGGCUUAUUAUCAGCUAGGAAAACUGUGCACAAAUGAAAGCAUUGCUGAAACUCUGGUGACUGGAUACUGGAUGACGACAGCUCUCUCUGCCCUAACGUCUUUCAGUGAUUCUUGUGUUCCUAGUAAAGUCUGUGACAAUUAA
This is a long non-coding RNA of Aquila chrysaetos chrysaetos, 903 nucleotides long. RefSeq lists it as uncharacterized. The transcript has 2 exons. The record is from RefSeq and is a predicted model, not a curated record. Lineage: Eukaryota; Metazoa; Chordata; Aves; Accipitriformes; Accipitridae.